AGCUCUAUCAGUUAAAAUGCAAAAAAACGUGGACAUGAGAAUUAACUUGAUGCAAAUUCCUGAAAGAGGCACCAAGACUGACUAAUAAAAACCUCAGACAGCUCCACGGCUCAGAAGCGGCUCCUACCUGAUUACAAGGUCAACAAUGAAGACGCUGAACGCAGCUGCGAUGAUACGCCUCUUCAUCAUCCUCGUCAUCACUGUACACAUGGCUCCUGGAGUAAGAAGUGGAAAUACGGGCAGUAAGGUUCCGGGACGAAACAACGAGGCAAACAAACAAAGGACUUCAGCUGAGGUUGAGCUUCACUGUCACACAGUCUGAGAGAACACUGCACACUGACUUUAGGGACUUCAUGCUGGUUUAAUUUAGAGUUAAUAUUUACUACUAAAAGCUCCUUCACAGAAAGUUCCUACAGGACCUGGUUAUGGAUUCACUGCCUGAUGACUGAGACG
Molecule: long non-coding RNA, 453 nt
Organism: Pygocentrus nattereri (red-bellied piranha)
Lineage: Eukaryota; Metazoa; Chordata; Actinopteri; Characiformes; Serrasalmidae
Exons: 3
Source: RefSeq, a predicted model, not a curated record